UGGGAAUCUUGCACAAUGGGCGAAAGCCUGAUGCAGCAACGCCGCGUGCGGGAAGACAGCCCUAGGGUUGUAAACCGCUUUCAGCAGAGAAGAAACUGACGGUACCUGCAGAAGAAGAUGCGGCCAACUACGUGCCAGCAGCCGCGGUGACACGUAGGCAUCAAGCGUUAUCCGGAUUUAUUGGGCGUAAAGAGCUCGUAGGCGGUUCGGUAAGUCGGGUGUGAAAACUCUGGGCUCAACCCAGAGAGGCCACUCGAUACUGCUGUGACUAGAGUGCGGUAGGGGAGCGGGGAAUUCCUGGUGUAGCGGUGAAAUGCGCAGAUAUCAGGAGGAACACCAGUGGCGAAGGCGCCGCUCUGGGCCGUAACUGACGCUGAGGAGCGAAAGCAUGGGUAGCAAACAGGAUUAGAUACCCUGGUAGUCCAUGCCGUAAACGUUGGGCACUAGGUGUGGGUCUCAACCGAACGAGAUCCGCGCCGUCGCUAACGCAUUAAGUGCCCGCCUGGGAGUACGGUCGCAAGACU
RNAcentral lists this ribosomal RNA (524 nucleotides) under uncultured bacterium. RNAcentral's name for it is "bacterial SSU rRNA". It matches the Rfam family "Bacterial small subunit ribosomal RNA", at positions 356 to 895 of the family's 1533-position model. The record is from RNAcentral.